Molecule: long non-coding RNA, 962 nt
Organism: Carassius gibelio (silver crucian carp)
Lineage: Eukaryota; Metazoa; Chordata; Actinopteri; Cypriniformes; Cyprinidae
Exons: 4
Source: RefSeq, a predicted model, not a curated record
UAAAAAUGAACCCUAAACACAGUUGUUCAUCACUUGUAUGAUAUUGUACAAGCCCCAGGACUGUCUCAUCUGACACUAUCAAAAGAAUUCAUAUGACUAUAGCUUGCUAUUAAUUACUUGCUUUCAAUAAUGGAUGCAUUUAACAUUUAAUUAUACAGCAUCUUUACAGAGGCUGCUUUUAUUGUCUAAACAAAACCCAGUGUAAUGUAUAAGUUGUCUGUAAUUAAUAAUAUUUCCUUCUUUUCUGUCUUACAGGAUUGUUUGCAGAUAAUACUGUUCGAGCAAUAUCGAGCUCAACAGCUCUUUUAAGAGCCAACCCUCACACACCUUCCUAAAAACUAAAAGAGCUAUUACUGAGUCUCAGCAAAUCUUGCCAUGAUCAGCUCUUCCCAGAAGAGGAGCAAGUUCAAGGAAAUGAUUUGCUCAGGAUGAGGAAUGAAGACGGCCAUCUUGUGCUCAAACAAACAGAAGUCCUCUGGUAUAUGAUCUCAUCAGCCAAAUGAGGGGUUUUGACCAAGUGAUGCUCUUGAAAGGAGUGAAAGAAGAGGAUGUGGUAAAUUGUCUUCAGAGAAAAAGCUUCUCAAAAGGUCUCAAAACAGCUUGAAGAAUGGUCUGGGAUCUUAGGACUGAGAGAUCCUCUGGCUGAGAACAAGCUACACCUCAUCAGUGCUGGAUAUCAACCACAAACUGUUUCCAGACACGAGAGAAGAAGAUCACGAUGGGGAGAUGAAACCAGUUUUGAUGUGAUGAUAAGGAAUCAUUAUUUUCUGAAACAGUAUCACAUAUCUUAUAUGUAUCACAUGAUCUGUAUCACAGUUGACUGGAUGGGACUCUGUGACUUUUAAGGACAUUUCAUCACUCAUCUGUGUGAAUGUGUUUUGAUGAUAAUAAUUUUUCUUGAAUCUUAUUUGUCUUGAUGCUACUUUAUCAACUUUAUAAUCUAUGCUUCAAUAAAAUGAAAA